This 87-nucleotide non-coding RNA is filed under the name Cellulomonas carbonis T26. Its description in RNAcentral is "Cellulomonas sp. T26 ZMP/ZTP riboswitch aptamer (pfl RNA motif)". It matches the Rfam family "ZMP/ZTP riboswitch aptamer (pfl RNA motif)". From Rfam's summary of the family: Previously known as pfl RNA. Lineage: Bacteria; Bacillati; Actinomycetota; Actinomycetes; Micrococcales; Cellulomonadaceae. The record is from Rfam by way of RNAcentral. RNAcentral also lists the same sequence under 1 other name.
UGUCCGGGUCGCGACUGGCGAACAGGUGGGUCACCACCAGGGAGCGGCAGCACAGCAGACUUCGGGUCGUACGCCUGGGCCGCGGGU